AUUGAACGCUGGCGGCAGGCCUAACACAUGCGAGUCGAGCGGAUGAAGGGAGCUUGCUCCUGGAUUCAGCGGCGGACGGGUGAGUAAUGCCUAGGAAUCUGCCUGGUAGUGGGGGAUAACGUCCGGAAACGGGCGCUAAUACCGCAUACGUCCUGAGGGAGAAAGUGGGGGAUCUUCGGACCUCACGCUAUCAGAUGAGCCUAGGUCGGAUUAGCUAGUUGGUGGGGUAAAGGCCUACCAAGGCGACGAUCCGUAACUGGUCUGAGAGGAUGAUCAGUCACACUGGAACUGAGACACGGUCCAGACUCCUACGGGAGGGAGCAGUGGGGAAUAUUGGACAAUGGGCGAAAGCCUGAUCCAGCCAUGCCGCGUGUGUGAAGAAGGUCUUCGGAUUGUAAAGCACUUUAAGUUGGGAGGAAGGGCAGUAAGUUAAUACCUUGCUGUUUUGACGUUACCAACAGAAUAAGCACCGGCUAACUUCGUG
This 484-nucleotide ribosomal RNA is filed under the name uncultured bacterium. RNAcentral describes it as "partial 16S ribosomal RNA". It matches the Rfam family "Bacterial small subunit ribosomal RNA", at positions 30 to 507 of the family's 1533-position model. The record is from RNAcentral.